Molecule: ribosomal RNA, 253 nt
Filed under: uncultured bacterium
Lineage: Bacteria
Description: partial 16S ribosomal RNA
Rfam family: Bacterial small subunit ribosomal RNA
Source: RNAcentral
UACGGGGGGGGCGAGCGUUGUUCGGAAUUACUGGGCGUAAAGGGCGCGUAGGCGGUCUGCUAAGUUGGAUGUGAAAACUCUGGGCUUAACCCAGAGCCUGCAUUCAAUACUGACAGGCUAGAGUUCUGGAGGGGAUAGCGGAAUUCCUGGUGUAGCGGUGAAAUGCGUAGAUAUCAGGAGGAACACCGGUGGCGAAGGCGGCUAUCUGGACAGAGUCUGACGCUGAGGCGCGAAAGCUAGGGGAGCAAACAGG